RNAcentral lists this long non-coding RNA (542 nucleotides) under Chinchilla lanigera (long-tailed chinchilla). Its description in RNAcentral is "lncRNA (ENSCLAG00000028359.1)". Lineage: Eukaryota; Metazoa; Chordata; Mammalia; Rodentia; Chinchillidae. The record is from RNAcentral.
CUCUGUACUUCCCCUUCCAAUUCCAUACAAACCUCUCUCCCUGGGCCUUUAGGGCCUGAUAUUUUGGGAAUGAACUUAAUCAGUGCUCAGUGAUGUAAAUAAAUCUGCCUCAAAUCCUGGGUGCUGUUUCAGUGUUUCUGUUUGCUGUUGCAUCUGGUGCCAGCCAGGAAGAUCAGCUGUGCUGACCUCUUUGGUCACUGACAGAGCAAGGAUCUCCCCAGGAAGGCACGCUUAUGAGAUUCCUUGUGUCCCUUCACAGGUCUGGAGGAGGAUUCUUGUCUUCCUGCUUGAGUGACUCACACUGGACCCCAAAUGGAGGAGGAUGCAGUAUGUGUCUGUCUGCCUACCUGCCUGCCUGACUCUGAAUAUUGUGGAACUUUAGAGCUAAACAUCUCUUCCUGCUUUCUUUGUGCCAACUUGGAAUUUGAUGAGCAUGAUGUGGCUGUAAGGGCAGCAGGUGACUGUUGGCCACAGUGGGGAAUAUGCAUUUAUCAGGUAAGACAGCAACUAGAGGAAAAAUAGUACAUGAAUAAUACUUUGUG